UCCGUAGGUGAACCCUGCGGGAGGGAUCAUAACCGAGUUUACAACUCCCCAAACCCUUAUGUGAACCGUACCUAUCGUUGCUUCGGCGGGGAACGCCCCCGGCGCCCCUGCGCCCCGGAUCCCAGGCGCCCCGCCGGAGACCCCCAAACUCUUGUGUUUUUUUCAGUAUUCUCUGAGUGGCAAACGCAAAAAUAAAUCAAAACUUUUAACAACGGAUCUCUUGGCUCUGGCAUCGAUGAAGAACGCAGCGGAAUGCGAUAAGUAAUGUGAAUUGCAGAAUUCAGUGAAUCAUCGAAUCUUUGAACGCACAUUGCGCCCGUUAGCAUUCUAGCGGGCAUGCCUGUCCGAGCGUCAUUUCAACCCUCAGGGUCCCCGUUCCGGCGGGGAACCUGGUGUUGGGGAUCGGCCCGCCCCGUGCGGCGCCGUCCCCCAAAUUCAGUGGCGGUCUCGCUGCAGCCUCCCCUGCGUAGUAGUUACAACCUCGCAUCGGAGCUCAGCGCGGCCACGCCGUAAAACCCCCGACUUUCUGAACGUUGACCUCGGAUCAGGUAGGAAUACCCGCUGAACUUAAGCAUAUCAAUAAGCGGAGGA
Molecule: small RNA, 591 nt
Filed under: uncultured Stachybotrys
Lineage: Eukaryota; Fungi; Ascomycota
Description: eukaryotic LSU rRNA
Rfam family: 5.8S ribosomal RNA (bases 201-354)
Source: RNAcentral